NNNNNNNNNNNNNNNNNNNNNNNNNNNNNNNNNNNAAAAAUAAGCCCGAGCUGCGGGCUCGGAGCGUUUAAAACAAUGAGCCCCGAAGGUGUUAAACAAACCAAACAAAAAAAAAAGAAAAAUAAAAAUAAAAAAUCGCCUCUGUCGCAGCGCAAACCCGCCUGAAAGUUAAUUUCCAGCAAUUGGAGUUUAAUUUACCUGACUUCCCGCGCAGCGCGUAAUAACCUGGUUAAUGGCAGCUCGGAAAAGCGGCAAUAAUCAUCUGCCUUUGUUCCAUUAAGCAGCGCGGCUAAUUAUUAACGCGAAAAUCAGGGAAAAAAAACAAAAAGCGGGGGAGCGAGGAGGGGGAGCGGGGGGACUUUGAGGGAACCCAAAGGCGCCCAGAGCCGAAUAUUUCCCCCCUGGGAAGGGAGAGGGGGUGAAAUGAGUGGGGAGAGGGGAGCGCGGUGGGAAUUCCAGCGCGGAACAACUCCAGCGCGGCUGCGGCUGCUCCCAGCACGAAAUCCAUUGAUUUCCCUUUUUUUUUUUUUUUCCUGCUGGUUUUUUGGGGUUUUUUUCUUUUUUGGAGUUUCUCCCAGAGCCUCGGAGCGCGGCAUUUUCUGGGGGGGAAAAACCAGAAUGAUCGCGGAGCCGAACAGUUGCCAGGAAACUGCGGGGCAGGAGGAGAAAACGAGAAGGGGGAAAAGGAGCGGGAGGGAGGGAGGGAGGGAGCUCUGGCAAUACCAGGCGCGCAUUGUCCUGCCGGGCCUACAGAAACUUAAAAGUGACCCCUCGUCUGCCCCUGUCCCCAGCCCCGAGCGGCCGCUGCGGGCCAGGGAGGGGCCAAGGCUCCCCUGCCUGGCAUUUUAUUGCGUUUUAUUGCACUUUAUGGCGUUUUAUUGCGGUUUAUUGCGUUUUAUUGCGGAUUAUUGCGGAUUAUUUCUCUUUAUUUCUUCUUAUUUCUUUAUGGUUUUUUUUUCAUUCUGUUUUUAUUGUAUGUCAUUGUAUUUCUUCUUUAUUUUAUUUUUCUCAUUUUCUUUCUUCUUCUUUAUUUUUUUUAAUCUUAGUCCGCUUUAUUCCACUUUAUUCCCACCUUAUUUCAUUUUAUUCCACCUUAUUCCAUUUUAUUCCACUUUAUUCCAUUUUAUUCCACUUUAUUUCAUUUUAUUCCACCCUAUUCCAUUUUAUUCCACCUUAUUCCAUUUUAUUCCACCUUAUUCCAUUUUAUUCCACCUUAUUCCAUUUUAUUCCAUCUUAUUCCACCUUAUCCCAUUUUAUUCCAUCUUAUUUCUCCUUAUUUCUUUCACUUUACAUUUUUUUCAUUUUAUUUCCAUUUUUUCCCUAUUUUUCCCCCUUUUUUUUUUAAUGCUGAGCUGCCAAACUCCCCCACCCCUGGGCCCAGCUCAGCCCCGCCGCGUUCCUCCGCACCCGCGCACCCAAACUCUGCCAUCCCGGUGGGAUUUCCCAUCCCCGCGCCCACCUUUGGGGCUGUUGCGACAGAAAAAAAAACCCCUCAGCUCGCUCCGACCUCCC
RNAcentral lists this long non-coding RNA (1512 nucleotides) under Geospiza fortis (medium ground-finch). Its description in RNAcentral is "lncRNA (ENSGFOG00000006856.1)". Lineage: Eukaryota; Metazoa; Chordata; Aves; Passeriformes; Thraupidae. The record is from RNAcentral.